AGUGAACGCUGGCGGUAGGCCUAACACAUGCGAGUCGAACGGCAGCACAGUAAGAGCUUGCUCUUACGGGUGGCGAGUGGCGGACGGGUGAGGAAUACAUCGGAAUCUACUUUUUCGUGGGGGAUAACGUAGGGAAACUUACGCUAAUACCGCAUACGACCUACGGGUGAAAGCAGGGGAUCUUCGGACCUUGCGCGAUUGAAUGAGCCGAUGUCGGAUUAGCUAGUUGGCGGGGUAAAGGCCCACCAAGGCGACGAUCCGUAGCUGGUCUGAGAGGAUGAUCAGCCACCCUGGAACUGAGACCCGGCCCAGCCUCCCACGGGAGGCAGCAGGGGGGAAUAUUGGAAAAUGGGCGCAAGCCUGAUCCAGCCAUACCGGGUGGGUGAAGAAGGCCUUCGGGUUGUAAAGCCCUUUUGUUGGGAAAAAAAAGCAGCAGGUUAAUCCCCCGCUGUUCUGCCGGUACCCAAAGAAUAAGCACCGGCUAACUUCGU
RNAcentral lists this ribosomal RNA (491 nucleotides) under uncultured bacterium. RNAcentral's name for it is "partial 16S ribosomal RNA". It matches the Rfam family "Bacterial small subunit ribosomal RNA", at positions 29 to 506 of the family's 1533-position model. The record is from RNAcentral.